This is a long non-coding RNA of Bos taurus (domestic cattle), 864 nucleotides long. NCBI's taxonomy places the organism in Eukaryota, Metazoa, Chordata, Mammalia, Artiodactyla, Bovidae. The record is from Ensembl.
AUCGCUGCUGAUGAGCGCGGGCUGCGGCCCCCAAAUGACAUUCUGCUGCCUGCAACUCUGUAAUCGCUUUUGGAGGGGAUAUUAUGUUAAUAUCUCACACAAGAGCCUCCGAUCAGGCAGAACGUCAGGGCGGCCAGGCCCAGGCCAUAUGGUGCAUCCGAGGUCCUCCUUUGUAAUCCUGGGUAAUUGAAAUCCUCUUCCUCAUUCGGACGUGGAAAGCCUUCCUCGGAGCACCACUGGUGUCCUCUGGAGCCCCCACACCACGCUGUUCGUAAUGACGACUACUGCAUUGGCACGUCUCGUUGGGGUUCAACUUCUGUCCCUGCAGCUCCUGAGCUGCGUGACAUGGGCAGGGGACAUCAACUUUCUGAGCCCGAGUUGCCUCUUCUGGAAAGCGGGAGUCAUGCCGUCUUGCUCGCAGGGUGGUGGUCCCAGGGCUUGUGGCUGUGCCCUGCCCCUCUUGGGAACAGCGGGGGCCCAGGAACCUCUCUGCAGCACGGCUACCACCCAACCUCACCCGGCCACGAGCGAGGAUCCAGGAGAGGACGCGGGCCCUGGCAGAGCUGAUCAGUAUCCUUCGCUCUUAACUGGUGGAUGUGCUAGAAGGGGAGGUGACGGCUGCAGGCAGCCCCUCGCGUGGUAAAGAGAAUGAAGACAGCACAUUCAGAGAUGUCAGGGGAGGGGAGAGAGAAGGGUGUCUGAGUGUCGCCUCCCUGCUCCCAGGAGGCCCUUGUGUCUGCUUCCUGCCUGUCUUAUCUGGAUUUAUUUUUGUCAUCCACUAACUCCUCCAUUUUACUUCUGUUCAUUCAUUUGAAUUCUGUUUCUUUUUUCUUUUCUUUCCCCCUUUUUUUGCAAGUAAAAGAG